CCUCAUUGAAGCAUAUAUAUUUGCAAUGGCUUGCUCAUUCAUCGGUUCUUUGAUAUCACCUUCAGCCCUGGCCAUCCUAUUGAUCUGAAGACUAAAGAAAUGUUAGUAAUCUUCCACAAGAUCAUCUAGCGUGUAUAGAAUGCUCAAUGUGGACAAGAAGAUAAAGCAGUCAAUUACAGUACAGCUAUUACAUUUUCAAGGCAAGACGAAAGAGAAUCAUUUAGUAUUACAAACAUGGAAUUGUUUAAUUACACCAAAACACUCGUGGGGCAAAUCAAUAGGGAGUGGGUACAGACAUUCUUUCUUUUAGAUGCUUACCCCACCUCAAGCUCUAACCACCAUAACAAAAAUCAAAGUGAUCUUAGCUCUGCACUAGAAUGCUACUUUGAGUCAGUAUUGCCCAGUAGUCGAAGCAACGACAAGGUUCAGUCAC
Molecule: long non-coding RNA, 433 nt
Filed under: Salvia miltiorrhiza (redroot sage)
Lineage: Eukaryota; Viridiplantae; Streptophyta; Magnoliopsida; Lamiales; Lamiaceae
Description: long non-coding RNA (SMIL_LNC005985)
Source: RNAcentral